GGGCAGCAGUGGGGAAUAUUGCACAAUGGGCGAAAGCCUGAUGCAGCGACGCCGCGUGGAGGAAGAAGGUCUUCGGAUUGUAAACUCCUGUUAAAUGGGAAGAAAGACCUUUGGUUAAUACCCAGAGGGGAUGACGGUACCAUUAGAGAAAGCUCCGGCUAACUUCGUGCCAGCAGCCGCGGUAAUACGAAGGGAGCAAGUGUUAUUCGGAAUAACUGGGCGUAAAGGGUGCGUAGGCGGUUUAUUAAGUUGGUUGUUAAAUUUCACUGCUUAACGGUGAGCAAGCAAUCAAUACUGAUGAGCUAGAGGGUGGAAGAGAGGAGUGGAAUUCUUGGAGUAGCGGUAAAAUGCGUAGAUCUCAAGAGGAACACCAAUUGCGAAGGCAGCUCCUUGGUCCAUACCUGACGCUGAAGUACGAAAGCGUGGGGAGCAAACAGGAUUAGAUACCCCUGUAGUC
RNAcentral lists this ribosomal RNA (457 nucleotides) under uncultured Candidatus Babelota bacterium. Its description in RNAcentral is "bacterial SSU rRNA". It matches the Rfam family "Bacterial small subunit ribosomal RNA", at positions 346 to 795 of the family's 1533-position model. The record is from RNAcentral.